GAGAAAACAGAAACAGGAGGGCAAAAAUUAGUGAUGUGAUUUCACCACACAAGAAAGGAAACAGCUCUAAAGAUUGCCUCUGCAGGGGAAUGGCGAGUAAUGGCAGAACACAGUGCCAUUGAGAGGAAGAGCUUGCUGCUCCACCACUUGCAGAGCAGGAUCUUUCUAAGGAAAGGCAUGUCAGCUUUUGAAAAAGCAACAGCACUGUUGUAGACUGUCCCCUGCAAACCAGCCAGGAUGGCUGCUGCUGCUGUGGAUGUGCUCUCUCCAAACUAGGGUUUGCCAAGAAAGAAAAAGUCCCUCCCUUUGGUGUGAAGUGGAUCACUUUGGGGUGGGAGGCUGCAUGACAAAGGUUUUGUUGCUGGCCUCAGCACAGGCUUGGAAGUAUCAUAUCAGUUCCCUGCCUGAAGCAAACACUGUGUUGUGUGACUACUGUCCUUUUCAGCUAAGGACUGUGUGAAAUGAGUCUCUUUUUCUUUGCCAUUAGUUUCAAAUGCUGCCACCAGCACCUUUGCUUUUACAGGCAAGGAAUGCAGUGCAGACAGGCUCGAGGCAAAUGUUUAGAGAGGCAAGGUGGAGAACAGCAAAUACAAAUACGCAAGAGAGAGUGAGAAUACAACAGCAGAAGACAUGUGAGUCUCGCUGAUGACAUCACUCAGAGUGCCUCUGUCCAUGUACUCCAUGACCAGCCAGAGCUGCUCAUCCAUAAGGUAGCUGAAAGAAGGAAACAAGGGGUGGAGAUGAACGUGCAUGUUUGAAAACAACAACGUUGCUGUUGGAAAACACCAAGGGUUGUUUCCGGGUGCCUUUGUGACAAGGACAGAAUAAAAGGAAUAGACAUUCCCUCUCA
Vidua macroura (Pin-tailed whydah) is the source of this 850-nucleotide long non-coding RNA. RefSeq lists it as uncharacterized. The record is from RefSeq and is a predicted model, not a curated record. The transcript is spliced from 2 exons. NCBI's taxonomy places the organism in Eukaryota, Metazoa, Chordata, Aves, Passeriformes, Viduidae.